Molecule: ribosomal RNA, 157 nt
Filed under: uncultured Gammaproteobacteria bacterium
Lineage: Bacteria; Pseudomonadati; Pseudomonadota; Gammaproteobacteria
Description: partial 16S ribosomal RNA
Rfam family: Bacterial small subunit ribosomal RNA
Source: RNAcentral
UGGGGAAUAUUGGACAAUGGGCGCAAGCCUGAUCCAGCCAUGCCGCGUGUGUGAAGAAGGCUCUAGGGUUGUAAAGCACUUUCAGUAGGGAGGAAGGCCAGAGUGUUAAUAGCGCUUUGGAUUGACGUUACCUACAGAAGCAGCACCGGCUAACUCC